RNAcentral lists this ribosomal RNA (239 nucleotides) under uncultured bacterium. RNAcentral describes it as "partial 16S ribosomal RNA". It matches the Rfam family "Bacterial small subunit ribosomal RNA", at positions 94 to 334 of the family's 1533-position model. The record is from RNAcentral.
AGCGGCGGACGGGUGAGUAACGCGUGGGUAACCUGCUCAUACAGGGGAGUAACAGUUGGAAACGGCUGCUAAUACCGCAUAAGCGCACAGUACCGCAUGGUACCGUGUGAAAAACUACCGGUGGUAUGAGAUGGACCCGCGUCUGAUUAGGUAGUUGGUGGGUAACGGCCUACCAAGCCGACGAUCAGUAGCCGACCUGAGAGGGUGACCGGCCACAUUGGGACUGAGACAUGGCCCAA